This 250-nucleotide ribosomal RNA is filed under the name uncultured bacterium. Its description in RNAcentral is "partial 16S ribosomal RNA". It matches the Rfam family "Bacterial small subunit ribosomal RNA", at positions 355 to 621 of the family's 1533-position model. The record is from RNAcentral.
UUAGGAAUCUUCCACAAUGGGGGCAACCCUGAUGGAGCAACACCGCGUGCUGGAUGAAGGCCUUCGGGUCGUAAACAGCUUUUGUAUACGAAGAAUAUGACGGUAAUAUACGAAUAAGGGUCGGCUAACUACGUGCCAGCAGCCGCGGUCAUACGUAGGACCCAAGCGUUAUCCGGAGUGACUGGGCGUAAAGAGUUGCGUAGGCGGCUUAUUAAGCGAGUAGUGAAAUCUGGUGGCUCAACCAUCAACC